This 21-nucleotide unclassified non-coding RNA is filed under the name Mus musculus (house mouse). Its description in RNAcentral is "oocyte_clustered_small_RNA8981". Lineage: Eukaryota; Metazoa; Chordata; Mammalia; Rodentia; Muridae. The record is from RNAcentral.
UGAUGAGUUUAUCAAGGUCUU